CCUACGGGAGGCAGCAGUGGGGAAUAUUGCACAAUGGGGGAAACCCUGAUGCAGCGACGCCGCGUGAGGGAAGAAGUAAUUCGGUAUGUAAAGCUCUAGCAGCAGGGAAGAAAAUGACGGUACCUGAGUAAGAAGCCCCGGCUAACUACGUGCCAGCAGCCGCGGUAAUACGUAGGGGGCAAGCGUUAUCCGGAUUUACUGGGUGUAAAGGGAGCGUAGACGGCUGUGCAAGUCUGGAGUGAAAGGCGGGGGCUCAACCCCCGGACUGCUCUGGAAACUGUACGGCUGGAGUGCAGGAGAGGUAAGUGGAAUUCCUGGUGUAGCGGUGAAAUGCGUAGAUAUUAGGAGGAACACCAGUGGCGAAGGCGGCUUACUGGACUGUAACUGACGUUGAGGCUCGAAAGCGUGGGGAGCAAACAGGAUUAGAUACCCGGGUAGUC
This 440-nucleotide ribosomal RNA is filed under the name uncultured bacterium. Its description in RNAcentral is "partial 16S ribosomal RNA". It matches the Rfam family "Bacterial small subunit ribosomal RNA", at positions 338 to 795 of the family's 1533-position model. The record is from RNAcentral.